GUACGUAGGGCGCAAGCGUUGUCCGGAAUUAUUGGGCGUAAGAGCUCGUAGGUGGCUUGUCGCGUCGGGUGUGAAGCUUGGGCUUAACUCCAGGUCUGCAUUCGAUACGGGCUGGCUAGAGGUAGGUAGGGGAGAACGGAAUUCCUGGUGUAGCGGUGAAAUGCGCAGAUAUCGGGAGACACCGGUGGCGAAGGCGGUUCUCUGGGCCUGACUGACGCUGAGGAGCGAAAGCGUGGGGAGCGAACAGGAUAGAAACCCGUUGGUAGUCCAAGCACC
Molecule: ribosomal RNA, 276 nt
Filed under: uncultured bacterium
Lineage: Bacteria
Description: partial 16S ribosomal RNA
Rfam family: Bacterial small subunit ribosomal RNA
Source: RNAcentral